GGGUCGGUAGCUCAGUGGUAGAGCGAGAGAUUGCAGAUCUCUAGGUCUCGUGUUCGAUCCACGAUCGGCCCU
Molecule: transfer RNA, 72 nt
Filed under: Pyricularia oryzae 70-15
Lineage: Eukaryota; Fungi; Ascomycota; Sordariomycetes; Magnaporthales; Pyriculariaceae
Also listed under: 4 other names
Description: tRNA-Cys (GCA) (tRNA-Cys-GCA-3-1)
Rfam family: tRNA
About the family: Transfer RNA (tRNA) molecules are approximately 80 nucleotides in length.
Source: RNAcentral